ACUCCAGCUCUGGUAACUGAAGUCCUCUAUUUAUCCACAGAUUAGCUACAGCAUGGACAGAAUUAGUGCAAGCUUCUCAACAAUGUCCUGUUAAUGUGACUCAAACCUGAGAACUUGUCCAUAGAAAGAUAAGUGUCAUUUCAUUUGCUUCCAACCCCAUUCAGGAUCUAAUCAAAU
RNAcentral lists this small RNA (177 nucleotides) under Gopherus agassizii (Agassiz's desert tortoise). Its description in RNAcentral is "TUC338 (ENSGAGG00000013134.1)". The record is from RNAcentral. Lineage: Eukaryota; Metazoa; Chordata; Testudines; Testudinidae.